UAUUUGUAAAGUGAACAAGUCUGAAAUUCUGACCAGUUAAAAACCAAACAGCUUGAGUAUAGGGGCAAUCAAUGAGCAUGUGUCUAAGGCUCUCACAGUUGAAGCUACACAUGGGGCAUUCUCUAGUAGGUAUGGUGACAUGCCGACCUAUAGCUUCCCUAGUUGGCACAACUGAGUUUAGGCAUUUCCAACAAAGAGAAUGGCUUUGGGAUUGGAGUUUGUUUUCCAAACUUUGAGGUUACUCUUGUGAGGGCUUGGUUGGGU
This 264-nucleotide long non-coding RNA is filed under the name Aquilegia coerulea. RNAcentral's name for it is "long non-coding RNA (ACOE_LNC000990)". The record is from RNAcentral. Lineage: Eukaryota; Viridiplantae; Streptophyta; Magnoliopsida; Ranunculales; Ranunculaceae.